GACGAACCACACAAACGUUAUUCGGAAUUACUGGGCUUAAAGGGUGCGUAGGCGGCGCAGAAAGUAGGGUGUGAAAUCCCUCGGCUCAACCGAGGAACUGCGCCCUAAACUACUGUGCUCGAGGGAGGUAGAGGUGAGCGGAACUUAGGGUGGAGCGGUGAAAUGCGUUGAUAUCUGGAGGAACACCGGUGGCGAAGGCGGCAUCCUGGACCAAUAUUGACGCUGAGGAGCGAAAGCCAGGGGAGCAGACGGG
RNAcentral lists this ribosomal RNA (253 nucleotides) under uncultured bacterium. RNAcentral describes it as "partial 16S ribosomal RNA". It matches the Rfam family "Bacterial small subunit ribosomal RNA", at positions 524 to 776 of the family's 1533-position model. The record is from RNAcentral.